RNAcentral lists this ribosomal RNA (251 nucleotides) under uncultured prokaryote. RNAcentral describes it as "partial 16S rRNA". It matches the Rfam family "Bacterial small subunit ribosomal RNA", at positions 525 to 775 of the family's 1533-position model. The record is from RNAcentral.
ACGAAGGGUACGAGCGUUAUUCGGAUUUACUGGGCGUAAAGAGCGUGUAGGCGGUUAGUUAAGUCAGUUGUUAAAUUCCCCGGCCUAACUGGGGACCCGCAACUGAAACUGGCUAGCUAGAGUGCAAGAGAGAGAAGUAGAAUUCCCGGAGUAGCGGUAAAAUGCGUAGAUCUCGGGAGGAAUACCGAUGGCGAAGGCAGCUUCUUAGCUUGUAACUGACGCUAAAGCGCGAAAGCGUGGGGAGCAAACAG